AUCUUAUCACCAACCUACGGAUAAGGAAUCUGGCUGGGAAGGGCUGAAUGACCUGCUCAAUCAAGGUCACACAUCUAGAAAGAGGCACCUUCAGGACUUGAAUGAGAUGACUUUAAUAUCAAUGCCCGGGCUCCUCAUCACCAUGCUGUCUUGACCGUCUGCAACAAACCCUUCACUCGACAAAUGGGGAUGUUAAGGCCCAGAAAGGCAAAGAAAGUUCCCCAAGGUCACAAGGUCAAUUGGCCACAUAGUUGAGGCUGGCCAAGAGAAAAGAAUAAUUUCUUGCUGGAUUCUUAGGAGAACCAUACAGGAAUAAGGUGUGAGGGGACAGGGAGGAAGAUUAGAGCAAAACAGGGGAGUUGAAGUGAGGGAGUUAGAAGGAGAACCUGGAUACCCCAGAAAACCCCAGCUCCAAUGUAGCCCACCCUGGCAGCCCAGGUGAUGGUGAGAGACGCAACUCACUUCUUCUGCUUCUUCUCCAGCUCAUGGUUUCGACUUUGUUGGUUCUCUAGCAGGACGCGGGUGUCCUCAAGGUCACAGACCCCUGAUCUCCAUAAGUGUCCCUGACAUUUCAAGGGCACAAAUUCUCUGGACACACGGAGGGAAUAAUGCUGACAUUUUAUAGAAGCUGACCCACUGGAUAUCCUUCUCACCCAACUCCAUUAGGCUAGGGAGAGUAAGAGGCAUGGUGACAAGGUGGCAAAGAUGUCACCAUGCCA
This 719-nucleotide non-coding RNA is filed under the name Pongo abelii (Sumatran orangutan). The record is from RNAcentral. Lineage: Eukaryota; Metazoa; Chordata; Mammalia; Primates; Hominidae.